GAUUAAGUUAUUAAGGGCGCACGGUGGAUGCCUUGGCACUAGAAGCCGAUGAAGGACGUUACUAACGACGAUAUGCUUUGGGGAGCUGUAAGUAAGCUUUGAUCCAGAGAUUUCCGAAUGGGGAAACCCAGCAUGAGUUAUGUCAUGUUAUCGAUAUGUGAAUACAUAGCAUAUCAGAAGGCACACCCGGAGAACUGAAACAUCUUAGUACCCGGAGGAAGAGAAAGAAAAUUCGAUUCCCUUAGUAGCGGCGAGCGAAACGGGAAGAGCCCAAACCAACAAGCUUGCUUGUUGGGGUUGUAGGACACUCUAUACGGAGUUACAAAGGACGACAUUAGACGAAUCAUCUGGAAAGAUGAAUCAAAGAAGGUAAUAAUCCUGUAGUCGAAAAUGUUGUCUCUCUUGAGUGGAUCCUGAGUACGACGGAGCACGUGAAAUUCCGUCGGAAUCUGGGAGGACCAUCUCCUAAGGCUAAAUACUCUCUAGUGACCGAUAGUGAACCAGUACCGUGAGGGAAAGGUGAAAAGCACCCCGGAAGGGGAGUGAAAUAGAACCUGAAACCGUGUGCUUACAAGUAGUCAGAGCCCGUUAAUGGGUGAUGGCGUGCCUUUUGUAGAAUGAACCGGCGAGUUACGAUUUGAUGCAAGGUUAAGCAGUAAAUGUGGAGCCGUAGCGAAAGCGAGUCUGAAUAGGGCGUUUAGUAUUUGGUCGUAGACCCGAAACCAGGUGAUCUACCCUUGGUCAGGUUGAAGUUCAGGUAACACUGAAUGGAGGACCGAACCGACUUACGUUGAAAAGUGAGCGGAUGAACUGAGGGUAGCGGAGAAAUUCCAAUCGAACCUGGAGAUAGCUGGUUCUCUCCGAAAUAGCUUUAGGGCUAGCCUCAAGUGAUGAUUAUUGGAGGUAGAGCACUGUUUGGACGAGGGGCCCCUCUCGGGUUACCGAAUUCAGACAAACUCCGAAUGCCAAUUAAUUUAACUUGGGAGUCAGAACAUGGGUGAUAAGGUCCGUGUUCGAAAGGGAAACAGCCCAGACCACCAGCUAAGGUCCCAAAAUAUAUGUUAAGUGGAAAAGGAUGUGGCGUUGCCCAGACAACUAGGAUGUUGGCUUAGAAGCAGCCAUCAUUUAAAGAGUGCGUAAUAGCUCACUAGUCGAGUGACACUGCGCCGAAAAUGUACCGGGGCUAAACAUAUUACCGAAGCUGUGGAUUGUCCUUUGGACAAUGGUAGGAGAGCGUUCUAAGGGCGUUGAAGCAUGAUCGUAAGGACAUGUGGAGCGCUUAGAAGUGAGAAUGCCGGUGUGAGUAGCGAAAGACGGGUGAGAAUCCCGUCCACCGAUUGACUAAGGUUUCCAGAGGAAGGCUCGUCCGCUCUGGGUUAGUCGGGUCCUAAGCUGAGGCCGACAGGCGUAGGCGAUGGAUAACAGGUUG
This 1429-nucleotide ribosomal RNA is filed under the name Staphylococcus aureus. RNAcentral's name for it is "partial 23S ribosomal RNA". It matches the Rfam family "Bacterial large subunit ribosomal RNA", at positions 1 to 1432 of the family's 2925-position model. Lineage: Bacteria; Bacillati; Bacillota; Bacilli; Caryophanales; Staphylococcaceae. The record is from RNAcentral.